Molecule: long non-coding RNA, 293 nt
Filed under: Bos taurus (domestic cattle)
Lineage: Eukaryota; Metazoa; Chordata; Mammalia; Artiodactyla; Bovidae
Description: long non-coding RNA NONBTAT000153
Source: RNAcentral
AAUCUCAGAUUAUUUUUAGAGGUAUAAAAGGUUUCCAGGAGAAAACAUCAAGACAUAUGACUUUUUUUUAAUUAAUAGUGAUUUAUUUUGAAGCUAUAAUAUUUAUAUUCUGAAAAUGCUUUUAGUCUAAUAUAGAGCAAGAACUAGAACAUUAGUAGAUUAUCAUUCUGCCAGUAUUAUAUUUAGUUUUGUUAAGAGAAAGCGAAUUUACAUUUAACUACAAGGAACAAAGAACUCAAUAUUUGUUUUAUUUUGUUCAGACUUAUUGUGAAAUAAUAAAGUACAAAAUUUCU